The sequence is a transfer RNA, 71 nucleotides long. It matches the Rfam family "tRNA". From Rfam's summary of the family: Transfer RNA (tRNA) molecules are approximately 80 nucleotides in length. Their secondary structure includes four short double-helical elements and three loops (D, anti-codon, and T loops). Further hydrogen bonds mediate the characteristic L-shaped molecular structure. tRNAs have two regions of fundamental functional importance: the anti-codon, which is responsible for specific mRNA codon recognition, and the 3' end, to which the tRNAs corresponding amino acid is attached (by aminoacyl-tRNA synthetases). tRNAs cope with the degeneracy of the genetic code in two manners: having more than one tRNA (with a specific anti-codon) for a particular amino acid; and 'wobble' base-pairing, i.e. permitting non-standard base-pairing at the 3rd anti-codon position. The record is from Rfam.
GGGUCCAUGGUCCAUCGGUAAGACGCUACCCUGACGUGGUAGAGAGGAAGGUUCAACUCCUUCUGGACUCA